RNAcentral lists this ribosomal RNA (254 nucleotides) under uncultured bacterium. RNAcentral's name for it is "partial 16S ribosomal RNA". It matches the Rfam family "Bacterial small subunit ribosomal RNA", at positions 524 to 776 of the family's 1533-position model. The record is from RNAcentral.
GACGUAGGGUGCGAGCGUUGUCCGGAUUUAUUGGGCGUAAAGAGCUCGUAGGCGGCUCGUCGCGUCGACCGUGAAAACCCGCGGCUUAACUGUGGGCGUGCGGUCGAUACGGGCAUCACUGGAGUUCGGCAGGGGAGACUGGAAUUCCUGGUGUAGCGGUGAAAUGCGCAGAUAUCAGGAGGAACACCGGUGGCGAAGGCGGGUCUCUGGGCCGAUACUGACGCUGAGGCGCGAAAGCGUGGGGAGCAAACAGG